RNAcentral lists this ribosomal RNA (501 nucleotides) under uncultured bacterium. RNAcentral's name for it is "partial 16S ribosomal RNA". It matches the Rfam family "Bacterial small subunit ribosomal RNA", at positions 30 to 523 of the family's 1533-position model. The record is from RNAcentral.
AUUGAACGCUGGCGGCAGGCUUAACACAUGCAAGUCGAGCGGAGAGAGGUAGCUUGCUACUGAUCUUAGCGGCGGACGGGUGAGUAAUGCUUAGGAAUCUGCCUAUUAGUGGGGGACAACAUUUCGAAAGGAAUGCUAAUACCGUAUACGUCCUACGGGAGAAAGCAGGGGAUCUUCGGACCUUGCGCUAAUAGAUGAGCCUAAGUCGGAUUAGCUAGUUGGUGGGGUAAAGGCCUACCAAGGCGACGAUCUGUAGCGGGUCUGAGAGGAUGAGCCGCCACACUGGGACUGAGACACGGCCCAGACUCCUACGGGAGGCAGCAGUGGGGAAUAUUGCACAAUGGGCGGAAGCCUGAUCCAGCCAUGCCGCGUGUGUGAAGAAGGCCUUAUGGUUGUAAAGCACUUUAAGCGAGGAGGAGGCUACUUUAGUUAAUACCUAGAGAUAGUGGACGUUACUCGCAGAAUAAGCACCGGCUAACUCUGUGCCAGCAGCCGCAGUAA